Molecule: small RNA, 82 nt
Filed under: Flavobacterium sp. 9AF
Lineage: Bacteria; Pseudomonadati; Bacteroidota; Flavobacteriia; Flavobacteriales; Flavobacteriaceae
Description: Flavo-1 RNA
Rfam family: Flavo-1 RNA
Source: Rfam by way of RNAcentral
CUUUAACCCUGAUGGAAGUGAAAAUCCUUUUUUUAUUUAAGCAAUAAAUAACAAAAGAUUGUAACGAACAGCAGGAAAAAGA